RNAcentral lists this long non-coding RNA (472 nucleotides) under Equus caballus (horse). RNAcentral describes it as "lncRNA (ENSECAG00000054347.1)". Lineage: Eukaryota; Metazoa; Chordata; Mammalia; Perissodactyla; Equidae. The record is from RNAcentral.
GUGACUGCUUCUGGAAAUAGGGUCUUUAAAGAGAUAAUUAAGUUAAAAUAAGGUCAUUAGAGUAAGCCCUAAUCCAACAUGACUGGUGUCCUGAUAAAAGGAAAUUUGGACACAAACAUGUACAAAAGGAAGACUGUGUGAAGACAGAGGUGAAAGCCGUCAUCUAUGAGCCGAAGUCAGAGGCCUGGAACAGAUCUUUUCCUCAGGACCUUCAGAAGAAACCAACCCCACCAACGGGCACCGUCAUGGCAGACUUCUAGUCUCCAGAAUUGAACUGGGAUGUUGCUGAGUCAGCAGAUGGGACCAAGAAGUCCAGCCUUGCAAAAAACAGAACUGCAUAGGAUCAUACAGCUAUCAUUGUUCCACUCUGUUCAUCCAUCUUCCAUUUAUUACCACAUUUCACCUACGAAGCCAGUGGAAUUUGCCUUGGUAGAUGGCAACUUUUGUAAGGAUUUUUAACCUUUAUAAAUUC